RNAcentral lists this ribosomal RNA (460 nucleotides) under uncultured bacterium. RNAcentral's name for it is "partial 16S ribosomal RNA". It matches the Rfam family "Bacterial small subunit ribosomal RNA", at positions 338 to 795 of the family's 1533-position model. The record is from RNAcentral.
CCUACGGGUGGCAGCAGUGAGGAAUAUUGGUCAAUGGCCGGAAGGCUGAACCAGCCAAGCCGCGUGAAGGACGAAGGUGCCAAGCAUUGUAAACUUCUUUUGUCAAGGGACAAAAUCAGGCUCGAGAGCCUGACCGAGGGUACUUGAAGAAAAAGCAUCGGCUAACUACGUGCCAGCAGCCGCGGUAAUACGUAGGGGGCAAGCGUUAUCCGGAUUUACUGGGUGUAAAGGGAGCGUAGACGGUAUGGCAAGUCUGAAGUGAAAGCCCAGGGCUUAACCCUGGGACUGCUUUGGAAACUGUUAGACUAGAGUGCUGGAGAGGUAAGUGGAAUUCCUAGUGUAGCGGUGAAAUGCGUAGAUAUUAGGAGGAACACCAGUGGCGAAGGCGGCUUACUGGACAGUAACUGACGUUGAGGCUCGAAAGCGUGGGGAGCAAACAGGAUUAGAUACCCCAGUAGUC